AGGAUGAACGCUGGCGGCGUGCCUAAUACAUGCAAGUCGAGCGAACAGAUAAGGAGCUUGCUCCUUUGACGUUAGCGGCGGACGGGUGAGUAACACGUGGGUAACCUACCUAUAAGACUGGAAUAACUCCGGGAAACCGGGGCUAAUGCCGGAUAACAUAUAGAACCGCAUGGUUCUAUAGUGAAAGAUGGUUUUGCUAUCACUUAUAGAUGGACCCGCGCCGUAUUAGCUAGUUGGUAAGGUAAUGGCUUACCAAGGCGACGAUACGUAGCCGACCUGAGAGGGUGAUCGGCCACACUGGAACUGAGACACGGUCCAGACUCCUACGGGAGGCAGCAGUAGGGAAUCUUCCGCAAUGGGCGAAAGCCUGACGGAGCAACGCCGCGUGAGUGAUGAAGGGUUUCGGCUCGUAAAACUCUGUUAUUAGGGAAGAACAUAUGUGUAAGUAACUGUGCACAUCUUGACGGUACCUAAUCAGAAAGCCACGGCUAACUACGUGC
RNAcentral lists this ribosomal RNA (500 nucleotides) under Staphylococcus gallinarum. RNAcentral's name for it is "bacterial SSU rRNA". It matches the Rfam family "Bacterial small subunit ribosomal RNA", at positions 26 to 508 of the family's 1533-position model. The record is from RNAcentral. Lineage: Bacteria; Bacillati; Bacillota; Bacilli; Caryophanales; Staphylococcaceae.